This 660-nucleotide ribosomal RNA is filed under the name uncultured bacterium. RNAcentral describes it as "bacterial SSU rRNA". It matches the Rfam family "Bacterial small subunit ribosomal RNA", at positions 94 to 788 of the family's 1533-position model. The record is from RNAcentral.
AGUGGCGGACGGGUGAGUAACGCGUGAGAAUCUGCCUUGGGGUCGGGGACAACCACUGGAAACGGUGGCUAAUACCGGAUACGCCUUCGGGUAAAAGAUUUAUUGCCCUAAGAGGAGCUCGCGUCUGAUUAGCUAGUUGGUGAGGUAAGAGCUCACCAAGGCAGCGAUCAGUAGCUGGUCUGAGAGGACGAUCAGCCACACUGGGACUGAGACACGGCCCAGACUCCUACGGGAGGCAGCAGUGGGGAAUUUUCCGCAAUGGGCGAAAGCCUGACGGAGCAAGACCGCGUGAGGGAGGAAGGCUCUUGGGUUGUAAACCUCUUUUCUCAGGGAAGAAGCUCUGACGGUACCUGAGGAAUCAGCCUCGGCUAACUCCGUGCCAGCAGCCGCGGUAAUACGGAGGAGGCAAGCGUUAUCCGGAAUUAUUGGGCGUAAAGCGUCCGCAGGUGGCGAUUCAAGUCUGCUGUCAAAGCACGGGGCUUAACUCCGUAAAGGCAGUGGAAACUGAAUAGCUAGAGUGCCGUAGGGGUAGAGGGAAUUCCCGGUGUAGCGGUGAAAUGCGUAGAGAUCGGGAAGAACAUCGGUGGCGAAAGCGCUCUACUGGACGGCAACUGACACUCAGGGACGAAAACUAGGGGAGCGAAUGGGAUUAGAUACCCC